UGCGGUUUCUCUCCUCGUAAGGCAGGGAUGGUCCCCAGAAGCCUAACAGACAAGUAACUAAGGCAGAAUGAAGAUCUGCUUUCCCAACUGUUCCAGAGAUGUCCCACAGCUGUUUCUCAUUGGCGUUACUUGGAUGAUGUGCUCAUCGCUGGAUCUGGGGAAGGGGUGGACCCCGACCAAUCGGUCCACGUAAGAGAAGGGAAGGUGGCUUCCAAAAGAAAACUGAGAAGGGAAAUGAAUGUCCCUCGGGUGUUCUAUGGACACAGAGCCCCAGUGAGGAGCCGUCCUGCUGCCACCAGGGCCAUGGGGCCCAGCUGGGGUGGCCAGGGGAGCACCUCGGAGGGCCCUGUUGGAAGCAGAUCCCUGGGGGACGGUAGUGAAGUCGAGGCACCUCGGGGACAGAGCCGAGGCAGAUCCAUGGUGACACACAGGUGGCCCUGCAGAGACAGUGCCAGAGAGCCAGGACAUGGCCGGGGGGGCGGGAAGCUGCGGCUGGGCGAGGACCUUCAGGGGACAUGGCAGGGAAGGUGGCCUGUGAGGGGCGGUGAGCAGCUGCCCAGGGCAGGAGGAGAGGCUGGCCUGGCUCUGCGGGGACCUGCCCCUGUCCCCCCACCCCAUUCUCACUUCCUGUUUUCUGUUCUUCCAAGGUAACAAGCUCUUUCCCACCUGGGGCCACCGGGGCCACCGUGCUUACUGUCCCCUCUGCCCGGGCACCUGUUCCUGAGAACAUGGGGAGUCUGCCACUUCCUCUCUCGGCAACUGUCUUGUCACGGCCCAGUUGUGGCCAGAGCUGUCACUCCGGUGCCCACAAACGGUGGCACAGAGGAGGUCCGCAGAGCUCUGGAGACCCAGGAGCCCAGGGACCCUUGCCAGGCACCGAAUGGCAGCCUUGCUCCUUUGUCCCCCAGUACAUGGCGCCCUCGGUCUCCUCCCCCCAUCAGUGUGACAAUAGCCCAAGCCACCGAAGAUCCCCCCCAUGAGGGACUCGGGGCCUGGCGCUCGGCUGAUAGUGGGUGUCCUCCAGGAGUCCCCGUGUCAUCAGCACCAGGACGGCUGAGAUCUUGUCACCACCUCAGGGAUGCCGGGGACUCUCAGGGGUCAUCUGCUUGGGCCGCAGUGUCCAGAUUCCAGCCACGGUUGUGUGACAGUCCCCGCUCUGGGCUCUUUCUGUCUCUGUAAAAUGGGGCUGUCCUUCCCUCCCUCUCCCUCUCCUUCCCUCCCUCUCCCUCUCCUUCCCUCCCUCUCUCUCUCUCUCUCUCUCUCUCUCUCUCUCUCUCACACACACACACACACACACACACACACACACACACACACACGCGCCGUCUAGUGCGGGUUCUGGGCUGAUUUACGAUGUCAUCACUCAGCCAGAGGGAGCCCGGGAGCUUUCCCGCAGGACACGUGACCUCCCUGAUGGCCUGAGUCCGGCCUCAGCCCCAGCCCUCCCCAGCCCCCCCUCAGCUCCAGGGUCCUGCAGGGAGGAUGGGGACAGCAAGCCCGGCCCGGUGCUCCCCCUCCCACCUGCGCUGUCACCAGGUGGGGCCCCUGGAUGGCAAGGACGCC
This 1563-nucleotide long non-coding RNA is filed under the name Marmota monax (woodchuck). The record is from RNAcentral. Lineage: Eukaryota; Metazoa; Chordata; Mammalia; Rodentia; Sciuridae.